CCAAUAGCGUAUAUUAAAGUUGCUGCAGUUAAAAAGCUCGUAGUUGAAUUUCGGGACCAAUAUGUUGGUCGUGCUUUUGUACGUACUGAUAUAAUUGGUUUCUCCCUUCUGAAGAACCUUGAUGUCAUUAAUUUGGUGUCUUGGGGAAUCAGGACUGUUACUUUGAAAAAAUUAGAGUGUUUAAAGCAGGCUCGCGCUUGAAUACAUUAGCAUGGAAUAAUGAAAUAGGACGUUUGAUUCUAUUUUGUUGGUUUCUAGGAUCGACGUAAUGAUUAAUAGGGGUAGUUGGGGGCAUUAGUAUUCAAUUGUCAGAGGUGAAAUUCUUGGAUUUAUUGAAGACUAACUACUGCGAAAGCAUUUGCCAAGGAUGUUUUCAUUAAUCAAGAACGAAAGUUAGGGGAUCGAAGACGAUCAGAUACCGUCGUAGUCUUAACCAUAAACCAUGCCGACUAGGGAUCGGAUGAUGUUAAUUUUUUAAUGACUCAUUCGGCGCCUUACG
This 499-nucleotide ribosomal RNA is filed under the name uncultured Glomeromycotina. RNAcentral describes it as "partial small subunit ribosomal RNA". It matches the Rfam family "Eukaryotic small subunit ribosomal RNA", at positions 591 to 1092 of the family's 1831-position model. Lineage: Eukaryota; Fungi; Glomeromycota. The record is from RNAcentral.